AUUCCAGCUCCAAUAGCGUAUAUUAAAGUUGUUGCAGUUAAAAAGCUCGUAGUUGAACUUUGGGCCCGGUUGGCCGGUCCGAUUUUUUCGUGUACUGAAUUUCCAACGGGGCCUUUCCUUCUGGCUAUCCUUGAGUCCUUGUGGCUCUUGGCGAACCGGGACUUUUACUUUGAAAAAAUUAGAGUGUUCAAAGCAGGCGUAUUGCUCGAAUAUAUUAGCAUGGAAUAAUAGAAUAGGACGUUUGGUUCUAUUUUGUUGGUUUCUAGGACCAUCGUAAUGAUUAAUAGGGACGGUCGGGGGCAUCAGUAUUCAAUUGUCAGAGGUGAAAUUCUUGGAUUUAUUGAAGACUAACUACUGCGAAAGCAUUUGCCAAGGACGUUUUCAUCA
Molecule: ribosomal RNA, 387 nt
Filed under: Saccharomyces sp.
Lineage: Eukaryota; Fungi; Ascomycota; Saccharomycetes; Saccharomycetales; Saccharomycetaceae
Description: partial small subunit ribosomal RNA
Rfam family: Eukaryotic small subunit ribosomal RNA
Source: RNAcentral